CAAAAAGCAAGCUUGAGUAGCUUGGGCUUCACCUCUUGUUUUCAGGAUGUGCUUACCUAAAGUGGAGAACACUGUUGGCGAGGACUGGUAGCUUAUGCUUAGGGAAGACACUGGACAUCUGUUUUCAGAUAUCACAAAGCUAAGAGACAGUGCUGAAAUCUAGGAUGAGUCACAGCAUCACCAAGAUUGGAGAAGACCUCCAAGAUCAUCCAGUCCAGCCCUCCACCUACCACCAUUUCUCCCCCCUAAAACAUGUCUGCCUUCUUCUGCAGAGAAAGUUGGUAUUCUCUUGCCUGGUACAAAAAUCCUUAUCCCAGUCAUGAACAUGAGCUCUGUCAGAGGCCCUCUAAACCACAGCAGUCUGAAGGGAUAUUAUAUGGGAACUGUUGAGUCACGUUCUGAACCACUGAUUGAUCACUGGGGAAAGGACCCCAUCAGCCCUGGGAGCACAGGUGAAGGCAAUUCCGCUGUGUGAUCAGAAGGGGUGGAGCCUGGCUGCAUCUCUGUUAGACCCCAUUUAAGGGCUGACCCCCACUGGUUGGGGAUCCUUCCUUGUGGAGUUUUCUCUAUAAGCCUACCUACUCAGAGGUGGGUGAGCAUUCCUUUCCUGUUUGUCCCUUUUUCUAUUCUGUUCCUGCAUUUCCUUUCUACUGUGCUAAUCUUUCCAACUGUAACAGAUAUCACAUAAAUAAAAACACAUUGGGAGAGAUUUCAGUAUUAGCUACAAAGUGAUAUGUCUUAUUUCCAGUCAUAAAGAGUUCCAGUAAGACUUCUGAUAAAGCAAAGACAUCUUUAAUGAUCUUGCUCUGUGCCA
RNAcentral lists this long non-coding RNA (814 nucleotides) under Gallus gallus (chicken). RNAcentral's name for it is "lncRNA (ENSGALG00010021349.1)". Lineage: Eukaryota; Metazoa; Chordata; Aves; Galliformes; Phasianidae. The record is from RNAcentral.